RNAcentral lists this ribosomal RNA (269 nucleotides) under Klebsiella pneumoniae subsp. pneumoniae. Its description in RNAcentral is "partial 23S ribosomal RNA". It matches the Rfam family "Bacterial large subunit ribosomal RNA", at positions 2679 to 2925 of the family's 2925-position model. The record is from RNAcentral. Lineage: Bacteria; Pseudomonadati; Pseudomonadota; Gammaproteobacteria; Enterobacterales; Enterobacteriaceae.
UAGUACGAGAGGACCGGAGUGGACGCAUCACUGGUGUUCGGGUUGUCAUGCCAAUGGCACUGCCCGGUAGCUAAAUGCGGAAGAGAUAAGUGCUGAAAGCAUCUAAGCACGAAACUUGCCCCGAGAUGAGUUCUCCCUGAGACUUUAAGUCUCCUGAAGGAACGUUAAAGACGAUGACGUUGAUAGGCCGGGUGUGUAAGCGCAGCGAUGCGUUGAGCUAACCGGUACUAAUGAACCGUGAGGCUUAACCUUACAACGCCGAAGCUGUU